AUAUAAAUAUUCAGCCAUAACGCUGACUACCUUUUGACCUCUGAAGGUACGUGUCCACAGCCUCCGUCCUUUCCACGCUUCCCAUUCAAUGUCUAUGUCAGCAGCCUUGCAAUGCAUUCUGGUAGCGUGGUCGCCAGAUUUGAGAGCCGGGGCGUCACGUUGCCCGCUCCUCAUUUGCAUAAAGUUGAGGUCUAGGCUACUUUAUGCAAAUCAGGGGGCGUCCGA
Molecule: long non-coding RNA, 225 nt
Organism: Sebastes umbrosus (honeycomb rockfish)
Lineage: Eukaryota; Metazoa; Chordata; Actinopteri; Perciformes; Sebastidae
Exons: 3
Source: RefSeq, a predicted model, not a curated record